This 169-nucleotide ribosomal RNA is filed under the name uncultured Clostridium sp. RNAcentral's name for it is "partial 16S ribosomal RNA". It matches the Rfam family "Bacterial small subunit ribosomal RNA", at positions 338 to 524 of the family's 1533-position model. Lineage: Bacteria; Bacillati; Bacillota; Clostridia; Eubacteriales; Clostridiaceae. The record is from RNAcentral.
CCUACGGGAGGCAGCAGUGGGGAAUAUUGCACAAUGGGCGAAAGCCUGAUGCAGCAACGCCGCGUGAGUGAUGAAGGCCUUCGGGUUGUAAAGCUCUGUCUUCUGGGACGAUAAUGACGGUACCUGAGGAGGAAGCCACGGCUAACUACGUGCCAGCAGCCGCGGUAAU